UAGGCGUGCAGCGUGCGCUGGCAGAGGGCCGAGCGGACGCAAUCCUCUUUGGUGAAACGGAUGAUGCCUAUCAUCUCAUCCUCUUCAAACCGCUCCAGCGCGUCACUCAGCCCCGAUUUCACACCCCGGGGCAGGUCACACUGGGUGACGUCGCCGUUGACGAUCACGGUGACGUUCUCCCCCAGGCGCGU
This 191-nucleotide antisense RNA is filed under the name Chimaeribacter coloradensis. RNAcentral's name for it is "Yersinia sRNA 251". It matches the Rfam family "Yersinia sRNA 251". From Rfam's summary of the family: Antisense to phoH gene. Trimmed on 5'end from the original size. The record is from RNAcentral. Lineage: Bacteria; Pseudomonadati; Pseudomonadota; Gammaproteobacteria; Enterobacterales; Yersiniaceae.